This is an unclassified non-coding RNA of Pteropus vampyrus (large flying fox), 209 nucleotides long. Its record names the gene 7SK. It matches the Rfam family "7SK RNA". Rfam says of the family: 7SK was discovered as an abundant small nuclear RNA in the mid-70s but a possible function has only recently been suggested. Two independent studies have found that 7SK RNA binds the CDK9/cyclin T complex (known as elongation factor P-TEFb). P-TEFb activates transcription by phosphorylating the C-terminal domain of RNA polymerase II. The record is from Ensembl. NCBI's taxonomy places the organism in Eukaryota, Metazoa, Chordata, Mammalia, Chiroptera, Pteropodidae.
AAUUGAGAGCAAGCUGUCUGUGACAUCUGUCAAGCCCACUGAGUGGAGAAUCGAUUUGGAAGAAAAGGAAGGUGUCCCCUUUCUUCCUGGCUCUGCCAUGUGUGUCUCUCCCAAAGUUGCAGGCUUCAUUGAUGAGGAUGAUUUUCCUAGAUAGAGAAGGACAAGGAUCUACAAGGAGUCAGGUUCUUCUGCUGGAAUAUCCAAGGCUU